This is a non-coding RNA of Beta vulgaris subsp. vulgaris (sugar beet), 47 nucleotides long. The record is from Rfam. Lineage: Eukaryota; Viridiplantae; Streptophyta; Magnoliopsida; Caryophyllales; Amaranthaceae.
CUAUAGGUUUUCCUAAAAACCACCCCAAACACAACCCUAAGUGAAAU